UUUCUUUUUAUCCGCUUCAUAGGCGUUUCUCUAAUGUGUUCGUUUUAUUUGUUGAUUUUACAAGAUCGUAUCGGCAGCGAUACAGAAUUUAGUUAUUUUUACGUUUGUCGACUUAUAUAGGUCAAGAUACGUCAUAAAUUUCGUGUAUUCUUUUUCUUUUCUUUUUCUUAUGGGACGAUCGCCGUAUCGUAUUUUAAAAUCAAUUUAUCGAUACUCGUUGCACUAAAACUACACGCGACGAAUUAUCGGGGGGAAAAAAAUCUGCGAAAUAACCUAGUUAUAUUUAACGACGAAAGAGAAGAGCAGGUGGAGCGGAGUAAAGUAGCCAGUUAAGAGUCGCAAAUUAAAAGACAAGUGGGCCUUCGGGACAAAAUUCAACUUUGUGACAAGUAUAACGACACAAAGAUUCGUCCAUCAUCAUACGUGAUCGGUUUGUUAAACAAAGCUACUAUCGUAGUCAUCGAUCUGGUUUUCGUAUGUAGAAUGAAGUUGUUGUUGAUCGAACGAGACGAAGAAGACGACGAAGAGGGAGUGGAAGAAUCAAGAAAGGAACGAUCAGCGGUUCAGAAGCGUUCUCACGUAAAAAUACUCGCGUUAAUUUCAUUGCACGCGUUAAUACAUGCUCCGAAAUGGUUCGCUUUCCGAUCGUUCGUAAUUACACCGAUUAUCCGUGGUGAGCGUGCAUGUCCAGCCAUUUUGAACAUAAAUUACUCGCGAUCACCGAUACGUCCCUGCAUCGGUAGAGAAAUAAAAGAAAUCGCGAUGGAGUACGUGACCAUCGAAAGGUUCUGCCCUUUUUACCGAUACUUUCUCGACGUUUGCAACUGUUCCCGAGUUGGCUCGGAGCCAACAAUCGUUUUAUUAUCGCAGUUUGCACCGCACGGAACUGGCUAACCACGUUGGUCGUUAGUAUUUCGUUAGAGGUUUUCCCGGCUUAAUAAAUUGGAUGGCAUGGGACAAGUUCAAAUUCACGAUAUUGUUUCGCCUAUCCGUUAGAAAAAUGGAGCAACGAGAUCGUCGCGACCGAAAAUUCCACCGGUCUCGUUGUUCUUCCCCUUCGUAACUCGUGUAAAACUGGCCGCAAUUUAAAAACUACUUUACGGAACAACGUUUUAAUUUCGAAAUAAUAGUUUCCGUUUAACGGUAUCAAUUUUUAACGCCGCAUUAACCCGAUAAGAAAUUUCUGGCGAAGCGUAAUUCUUGCGGUCGUAGCUUUACGACCGUGAAACCACAGACCCAUUCAGGUUCUCAGAACCUACGGAAUUAUGUCUAAUUCGCGAUAAAUUCGUCUUAUUUUUUCCUCCUUCGAGGAUUUAUCGGAAUACACUCGGAAGUUUGGCGUUGAGUGUUCUUCGCGGCAAAGUGGCUCGACUCUGUAUGAAAUUAUCGAUGUGGUUAAAGCUGUGAAAGACUAUUAAAGGUGCUCGAACGACACCUGUUGCUCCACACCGAGUCUCCGACAGAAAUUUCGUCGGGUCCGCUUUUCCAUGGAUUUCGAUGUCGCUGCUAAUAUUUCACCUGGAUAAUUGUAACCUGCCCGCGGUCCUCGUAAACGCCAUUUCGCGAGAAUUACGCUUGAAGCUUCUCAAUUAAGUAACAUUAAAUCUCUUGAAGUUGGAGAUACGGGAUGCAAAGGGGAGGAGACGAGAUAACCGUAUUUAUAUCCCGCAGCGAAUGUGAAAUAAAAUGGCAAAAGGAAAGUGUUCUCGCGACAAGCCAGCAUCCAGCGACAACGUUGAAUCGUGUUGCAUUUUACAGAGGUUGAUCUACUUCGCAACGGCGACGCGAACCGAACGUCGUCAGUGCAUAUUUCCCAUGGCUUGGGGGAGCUUGUGCCAGUACGCGACAAAUAGUGGAAGGAAAAAUGAAGGAAAAAUGGCAACGCAGUGGUACUCGAAGCUAGAGUACAAUAAGAAAUGACCCAGAAAACGAUAGGAAAGAAGGGUUAAGCAGAAUGACUGAGCAUCGUGAUGUGAACGACGAAUAUGCACAAAGUGUAUGAUGAAAAGACGUAUCGAGGUAUGGAACAAGGUCAGUCAAUUAUUUUCCAUCUCCGCGUACAUUUGUGUCUCGAACGAGGCGUGAAAUGUCGCUUUGAUAAUUUUUCACCCUGUAUCGUGCAUUCAAAAAUGUUUCAACUGUUGGAAAAAAUUUCAAACGCAACGAAAACGUUUACGUUGAAUUUGUUUCACAAAUAGUUUGUUUUGAUAUUUAUUGUAAUGUUGAAAUUGUAACUGUUGGAAAAAGUUUAAAGUAGAGCAAACUGUUUACGUCGAAUAUGAUCAAUCUCGUAAACAGUACGCCCUGACAUUUUUCAUAAUGGAAUUCUCCAUUCUAUAUCGUGCAUUUACAAAUAAUUUAUCUAUUCGAAUAAAUGCCAAAUGGAGC
Molecule: long non-coding RNA, 2388 nt
Organism: Bombus pascuorum
Lineage: Eukaryota; Metazoa; Arthropoda; Insecta; Hymenoptera; Apidae
Exons: 3
Source: RefSeq, a predicted model, not a curated record